Long non-coding RNA from Catharus ustulatus (Swainson's thrush), 121 nucleotides. RefSeq lists it as uncharacterized. The record is from RefSeq and is a predicted model, not a curated record. Lineage: Eukaryota; Metazoa; Chordata; Aves; Passeriformes; Turdidae. The transcript is spliced from 3 exons.
UCAUCUUCGUUUAUCUGAUAGUGAAGUGUGUCUUCCAGAAGCGCUCCCGACCUCGUGAACCUGACUGCCAACGCUGCCACAGCAGGACCCUCUGCCUGAGAAGGUUCUGUGUAAAUCUGCC